RNAcentral lists this ribosomal RNA (503 nucleotides) under uncultured bacterium. RNAcentral describes it as "partial 16S ribosomal RNA". It matches the Rfam family "Bacterial small subunit ribosomal RNA", at positions 29 to 523 of the family's 1533-position model. The record is from RNAcentral.
AACGAACGCUGGCGGCGUGCUUAAGACAUGCAAGUCGCACGGGAUAGGACAUGUAGUAAUACUUGUUUUAUUUAGUGGCGCACGGGCGAGUAACACGUGAAUUAGAUGCCCUAUAGUAGGGAAUAGCCCAGGGAAACUUGGAUUAAUACCCCAUGGUAUCGAAAGAUAAAAAGUGGCCGCAAGGCUGUCGCUAGCGGAUUGGGUCGCGCCCUAUAAGCCUGUUGGUGAGGUAACGGCUCACCAAGGCAAUGACGGGUACCUGGUCUGAGAGGACGAUCAGGCACACUGGAACUGAGACACGGUCCAGACACCUACGGGUGGCAGCAGUCGAGAAUAAUUCACAAUGGGGGCAACCCUGAUGGUGCAACGCCGCGUGGAGGAUGACGGUCUUCGGAUUGUAAACUCCUGUCAUCUGGGAGAAAGACCUGACGGUAAAUAGCCGGCAGGGUUGAUAGUACCAGAAGAGGAAGGGACGGCUAACUUCGUGCCAGCCGCCGCAGUAA